This 1314-nucleotide ribosomal RNA is filed under the name Chaetothyriales sp. MACM1. RNAcentral describes it as "eukaryotic LSU rRNA". It matches the Rfam family "Eukaryotic large subunit ribosomal RNA", at positions 1 to 1397 of the family's 3401-position model. The record is from RNAcentral. Lineage: Eukaryota; Fungi; Ascomycota; Eurotiomycetes; Chaetothyriales.
UUGACCUCGGAUCAGGUAGGGAUACCCGCUGAACUUAAGCAUAUCAAUAAGCGGAGGAAAAGAAACCAACACGGAUUGCCUUAGUAACGGCGAGUGAAGCGGCAACAGCUCAAAUUUGAAAUCUGGCCCUUGGGUCCGAGUUGUAAUUUGGAGAGGAUGUUUUGGGUACCGCCGUGGUUUAAAUUUCUUGGAACAGAAUGUCAGAGAGGGUGAGAGUCCCGUCUGGAACUGCGGUAGGGCCUAUGUAAAACUCCUUCGACGAGUCGAGUUGUUUGGGAAUGCAGCUCAAAAUGGGUGGUAAAUUUCAUCUAAAGCUAAAUAUUGGCCAGAGACCGAUAGCGCACAAGUAGAGUGAUCGAAAGAUGAAAAGCACUUUGAAAAGAGAGUUAAACAGUAUGUGAAAUUGUUGAAAGGGAAGCGCUUGCAACCAGACUUGUGUGUGGCGGUUCCCCCUUGCUUCUGCUUGGGCUACUCCGUCAUAUCCAGGCCAACAUCGGUUCUAGGGGUCGGUUAAAGGCCUUGGGAAUGUAUCUACCCCCGGGUAGACUUAUAGCCCAGGGUGUCAUGCGGCCUCCCGGGACCGAGGAACGCGCCUCGGCGAGGAUGUUGGCGUAAUGGUUGUCAGCGACCCGUCUUGAAACACGGACCAAGGAGUCUAACAUCUAUGCGAGUGUUUGGGUGUCAAACCCGUACGCGAAAUGAAAGUGAACGGAGGUAGGAAGCCUCAAGGCUGCACUAUCGACCGAUCCUGAUAUUUAUGGAUGGAUUUGAGUAAGAGCAUAGCUGUUGGGACCCGAAAGAUGGUGAACUAUGCCUGAAUAGGGUGAAGCCAGAGGAAACUCUGGUGGAGGCUCGCAGCGGUUCUGACGUGCAAAUCGAUCGUCAAAUUUGGGUAUAGGGGCGAAAGACUAAUCGAACCAUUAUAUGAUAGCUACUAGGUGGUUAAGUGUAACCUCAAAGUGGUUGCAAGUGCCUUAUUCUGGCGCGACACUGCUAAAUUGCGGGGACUUCCUAAAGCUAUUGCUACCAAGCUGGCCCUGAAAAGGGGCGGUGGCCGGGGUAAUGACCUAGGGUGUGGUAAAAACGCAAUAGAUGUAACAAUGGAUGAUCCGCAGCCAAGUCCUAAGGGUUUUUUAAGCCUAUGGAUGCAGUUCACAGACUAAAUGGCAGUGGGCUCUAAGUCAGGAUCUUGGAGCUUAAGAUAUAGUCGGUCCCCGGGGAAAGCCCGGGCGCAUACGCUAAAUCUGUGGUACAGAAUAGCCUCCUUAGGGAGGGGUUGCUACAGACCUGAACGGUGCGGACACUUCUUAGGGG